UAAACACUCAGCAAAGGAUUAUUAUUAGGAGGCUCGUCCUCACCCAAAACAGUAAGAGAAACUCACUGUUGCUUCUUUCUACUUCUUCCUCUUGACCUCCUUCCUGUGCUUGGGUUCAACUGGUUUUCUCUUUAGUCCCCUGCCAUUCUCAUUUGUUUCCUGGUGUCUUUGCUUAGAAUUAACCUGCAGUUUAGCUGAGUCCCUCUUGUUCUGUGAGGCUUUCCUUGACAGCUGACCCAGACUUGAUGGCCGCUGCCUGCUGUGUUGGGUUCAGGGAUGUUGCAAGUUCUUGGGUGACGGCAGCCUCAUCAGCCUCUAGGUCUCCCCUCAGUGCCUAGGGCAUUGUAGGGGGAUGCCCCACAGACUCACGCUGAGUUGGAGUGACUCUUGCCUGGGUGGCUGAGGCAGGCUGCCGCUGCCGUGACUCCACCAGGCUAGCCAGCCAGGACACAGAGCCAUAGGUCUUCAGAGAGUUACUCACACGGUGCUUCUGUGGAUCCUAUGGCUCUGCGCCUCCGAGACUGGAAGCUACCAGGAGGAUGAGGUUUCUGACUACAGAUUGCUGAUGGUAACUGGCUUUCCAUGGUUAACUUCUAAGCUACGAGAUGGAGCAGUAAAUUGAAGCUGACCUGAUGGGAAGUCUUUCCCCUAGGACAAGCUGAGCUUAAGAAAUGUCACCCAGCUUUGGUUAUCUUUUAUGACUAGAAGCGGAUGGGUAUUAUGGAUUUGCCUAAGCAUGGAAUU
Molecule: long non-coding RNA, 744 nt
Filed under: Equus asinus (donkey)
Lineage: Eukaryota; Metazoa; Chordata; Mammalia; Perissodactyla; Equidae
Description: lncRNA (ENSEASG00005037714.1)
Source: RNAcentral